RNAcentral lists this long non-coding RNA (463 nucleotides) under Sinocyclocheilus anshuiensis. RNAcentral describes it as "lncRNA (ENSSANG00000049462.1)". Lineage: Eukaryota; Metazoa; Chordata; Actinopteri; Cypriniformes; Cyprinidae. The record is from RNAcentral.
GGAUUUCAACAACUAUGAUACACAAAGUAGAUUCUGACCAUAUUAUUUUCUCCACAGUCUACAAUCCAGCACCUAUUGAGAAGAGGCAGGGGACAGAACCUUCCAGACGCUUCCUGAUGGACACGAACACUCGGAUGCUCAAACAUGAAGUUAACGAAAUGAACAGAAGAGUUUCCGGCUUCUACAAUCCUCCAGCUUAUGAGGUGAGGAAGGGGACCCAGAAUUCUCACCCCACUCUUGUGGAUCCCAGAACUGGACAACUGCUGCCGUCUUUAACCGAGCUGCAGAGGAACGCAGCUCCAUUGGAUGAGUUCAGACAAGGCACUGAACCUUCCAGAAACCUCCUGAUGGACCUGAAUGCAGGUCUACUUAAGGAACACCAAAAUAUGAUGGACAGGAGACCAGGCUGUAAGUCUGAAGUUCAAAUAUCUGAGAACAAAACAUUUAUGUAAUUGAAUCAGCC